This 825-nucleotide long non-coding RNA is filed under the name Urocitellus parryii (Arctic ground squirrel). Its description in RNAcentral is "lncRNA (ENSUPAG00010006332.1)". Lineage: Eukaryota; Metazoa; Chordata; Mammalia; Rodentia; Sciuridae. The record is from RNAcentral.
AUCCGGCAUCUUCCUCGCGGACAUCUUGUGGAGCGCCCAGCGGGACCGUGGGAGGCGGGGCUCUGCAGCGCCGGGCCGGUUCCGCGCUGACGGACGCCGGAGACUAGGAGGGGACGCUGUCCCCGCCGCAGAGUGGGUGGGCGCUGGGCUCAAGGGCGGAGCGCCGGGCCGGAGUGCGGCCGAGCGUGGGGCGAGGAGCCGCGGCGUCGUGGGACGGCCAGCCGCGGGCGCGAACCCACGGUUGUCAGAUGGUGGCCUGCUCCCCUCGUCAUAUGCCCACCGUCGAGGGCCCCAUCUGUCACCGACCUUCACAGCACCUAAGGCGUACCACAAAUGCUGCCGUCAUGCUCUCCGUGUCCUUGGAGAAUGUCACAGUGCUGCGAGAGCUAAGUGUGCAGGCUCUGUGGAUGGCAGCAGUUGAGAGCUUCCAUGGGGCUGGGUGUCCAUCAAAGCUGUCCUCUGUAGACCCAGCAGCCUAGCCUCGCCUGGAGCCUCUCACGGCAUCGCCAAGCCUCCCGGGAGGGAGGCCCCGAGGAGGCCAGGAAGGGAGGCCGAGUUGCCGUCCUCUGCCCUGGCACCCGCUGCCCAGGGCUGCGGCCUCCUCUGCUGCGGGGCGGUCACCAUCCUGAAGUCCUUCCCGGGCAGCGUCCCGCCCGCACAGGUUAGAUGACCGACUCCAGUCCUGAGGACACGGCAGAGGUCAGACCAGUGUUCCCGAACCUUCAGCGAUGAGGGUCCACCCUGCUCUGGAGGUGAGCAUCCCAUGCGACAUGAAUAAGGCGCAUCAAUGAUCAAAGUCACACAGGCAGCUUGGAGGGGCCGCAG